Long non-coding RNA from Aethalodelphis obliquidens (Pacific white-sided dolphin), 3157 nucleotides. RefSeq lists it as uncharacterized. The record is from RefSeq and is a predicted model, not a curated record. The transcript is spliced from 2 exons. Lineage: Eukaryota; Metazoa; Chordata; Mammalia; Artiodactyla; Delphinidae.
UAAGUCCUGUAAAUGGUAGGCAUGCACUAAAUGGAGGCUGCAGGAGUUACGUCUCCAUAAUUAAUCUUGGAAGAUGAAUUUGAAAACCUAUCAAGUCUUAGAAAACUGUCUUAGCUUUGCUGAAUUGAACGUACAUGGGGUCCUUACUAUCGAGACUGUGUUCUUCAUAUACUACUUCCCACUAAAAGGCACCAGGCUCCUUGUAGAAAUGGAGGAUUCCAGGGACAGGGCAUGGAAGGUAGAGGAGGAUCCUGAAACGUCUUGAAAUGUGCAGGCCAAGUCAAAAGACAUAGGAGCCAGCUUGAAGGGUCUCUUCUGGCAUAUCAUGGGUCACUUAGAACAUCACAAAGGAAAACAACUGUACGGGGAAUACAAAAAAAUCCAUGAGGUCCAUAUCACACUUUUCAAAAACCACUGGUCAUUUUCAGAGCAUCAACUCAUUACUCUGGAAACUGCGAAAGAGAAGGAAUAAAACAAAUAGCCUAUAUAUCAGGAUAACAAAAUAGUUGAUGGAGGUAUAUUUUUCUUCAUAGGUGAAUUUCAGCUAAUAAAUGCAGAAGGUAUGAUAGAUUAAAAUCCCCUAUUUUGCAACACCUAAUAAAAUAACAAAUUUAGGGAACGGUUAUCGUUAAUAGCUGUAAAAACCCAUGAGAUGAACUUGACAAGGAAGUGGAGGAAUCAGGCGGACACCACCUAAACCUAUGGUUAAUCUUAGAAUGUGGGACAACCAGAUGCUAUGUGCACCAAAAUGUGAUGUGGUAGGAGGUGAAUAGCACCGCCAUUGAUUCUAAAUCUAAAAAGUCUCUAGAUGCAUCUGUUGGUUUGUGGGAAAUAUGGAAAAGAGAGAGACAAUUGAAUAGUAGGGUGGGAAAUCAUUAGCCAAAUCUAGAAUAAAAAAAUUAUCUUGUUUUUUAAAACAAAUCAAUGGCAGGGAAAUGAACAGGAGGAAUUAUAAGGUCCAAUUGUAAAACAGAACCCACCCAAGGUAGUUCAAUAAGUGGCAUUUAGGAGAGCUGUUACAAAGAGUGGAAAAGUGAAGAGGGCUAAUGGAGAACAGUCACACCAGGAAGUACCAUCACACUUCCUGGUGCAGCAGAGCCCAGGGUCAAGCUGCCCAGGAGUGUGGAACCCUAGGUGAGGGGCCACCUGAUAAUACAUUCUUCAGGUAAUAUACUUUUUCUCUCUACUAGCUUAUAAGAUCUUUUAUUUAUUUAUUUUUUCUGUCUUGGAUGUUCUAGGGAUGAUUUCUCUAGGUAUGAUUUAUUUAUUUGGCUUGGUUAUUAAGUUCUGAAAAAUUCUCAGCCAUUCUCCCUUUGAAUAUAUUUCUCCUGCAUUUCUUUAGUCUCUCCUUUUGAAAUUCCUCUUAUAUGAAAAUGGAAUAUUCCCACUGUCUCUUUCAAGACUUUUUACUGGCCUUUCGUAUCUUCCAUCUCUUUAUCUCCCUCUUUGCUACAUUUAGUGUGAUUUCCUCAGAUUUAUUCUUCAAAUCACUAAGUUUCUUAUUGGUUGUGUUUAAGUUUUUGUUUCUCUCUCUCACUGAAUUUUUAACCAAGGACUAUAUUCUUAGUUUCCAGGGAAGCCGGGCACCAGUUUUUCUAUUAAUGUCUCAGGUGGGAGAUUCCUAUACUACACAAAUGAUAUGAAUUCAGAUCUCCUACUCUGUGCAGUAUCAACCAAAGUGGUAACUUCUCAAGGGUAAUUUUUUGCUGACUAAACUCCAAAGAAAGGCCGCUAACCUCUUCUCCAUCUCUUUGUAGUUUGGGAGGACAGGGGACCCUGUGAGUCUCCAGGCCUCACACAGAGUAGUUGUUGUUCCUCUGUCCUGUCCGGGGCUGGAUCAUGUCUGCUGUCCUUUCAAGAGCAUUCUAAAUGCUGUCAUCCACCCCUGUGGCCACUGCUGGUUCAGCUUUCUCCUACAAUUCUGCCUUUACUGUUUGAUCUUUGUUUCCAUCUGAAAGAAGUGGGCCUUUAUUUUUUGACACUUGGUUAUGUAAGUCUUUUGUCACAAUGUCUUAUUCAUUACUUCUACGUAUUUAAAACCAGAAAGUGGCAUCAGCUCAAUCCACUGUGCUGCCAGAAGUUUCUAGUAGCAGAAGCUUUAAAAGGAAGAAAUGUAAUGAUGAGUAGAGUAUACACAGAAAUAUACAUACGUCCUUAAUUACCUAGAUAUUCAGUGCCUUUGCUCUGUACUCUGGGUAUUACCACAUUGGAUAAAAUCCCUGCCCUUAAAGGACAUCACCUUGUAAUGAAAAUAUACAGAAAUGCACAGAAAUAGUAAAGGAGAAAUAAAGGGGAAGAAAGGAGAAAGUGCAGAAUGUGGGUGUAAAACUCACACCUGAGCAGGGCUCACGAUAAAGCCCUUCCCUCCGGGAGCACACACAUGGCGAGGAGGGCGAUAGCCAGAAAGUUCAACCCAAGUGCAGGAGAUGCAAAAACAUAGUACUUUGGUUGGCUGCCGUAUUCUAUGUCACUUCCGUCUGUGCAACGAUGAAUUGCUAAAGAAGUUACAUGCAAGCGUUUUCAAACUUAAUUACAUUUUAAGUGUCAAGGGAAUCUGUGUCUCAAGGCAGCUUUCAUAGUGGCCUCUGCCAUGCACAGCUGUGGUGUCCACUGGCCUCGCAGCUUCUUGUGACCCAUCCAUGAUCACUGAUGUCUGGCUCACUCUUACACCCCCAGCACCAGAUACAGGACAUGACACGUAAGAUGGACUCAACAAACACCUGGCCACUCAAUGAAACAACUACUCUCCAAGCCCGUGCACCCAGCUUCAUGCAUCACACAUUAUUCUUGGAAGGCCCUGGUGUUUUCCAUCCUGCAGGAUCCAUAGGAAAGUGUCUUUCCCUAACCCAAGGCCUCCAACACCUUCAUGUAAAGGCUGCUGAGUGGCAGCAGAGCAUGGGGACUCUGGCUUUUCUCCACCCCACCCUCUUAUUUUCUUUUCCAGUGAGAAGCUGCCAAAGUAAAACAGAUUCAUUCUACUCACAGGAUCCUGAAGUGGCCUCCUGCCCUCCAGGGGACGCCCAGGUGACGGCCUGUUCCCGGGCCACACUGAUCCUUCGCCAUACAUGUUAUAAAGCCCUAUUAGCCAGGUCCUGGUUCCCAAGCCCAUGCACGGCAGCAAUGGGGCUCAAUCCAGCCCUCUCACCAGGACCUGCCC